Molecule: ribosomal RNA, 446 nt
Filed under: uncultured bacterium
Lineage: Bacteria
Description: bacterial SSU rRNA
Rfam family: Bacterial small subunit ribosomal RNA
Source: RNAcentral
UUCCCAGACUCCUACGGGAGGCAGCAGUGGGGAAUAUUGCACAAUGGGGGAAACCCUGAUGCAGCGAUGCCGCGUGGAGGAAGAAGGUUUUCGGAUUGUAAACUCCUUUUAUCAGGGACGAUAAUGACGGUACCUGAAGAAAAAGCUCCGGCUAACUCCGUGCCAGCAGCCGCGGUAAUACGGAGGAUGCGAGCGUUAUCCGGAUUUAUUGGGUUUAAAGGGUGCGCAGGCGGAGGUGCAAGUCAGCGGUCAAAUUGCGGGGCUCAACCCCGUACUGCCGUUGAAACUGCAUCCCUUGAGUGCGCGAGAAGUAUGCGGAAUGCGUGGUGUAGCGGUGAAAUGCAUAGAUAUCACGCAGAACUCCGAUUGCGAAGGCAGCAUACCGGCGCGCAACUGACGCUCAUGCACGAAAGCGUGGGUAUCGAACAGGAUUAGAUACCCCCGUA